GGGCGCAGCCUGAUGGAGCACACCGCGUGAGUGAAGAAGGGUUUCGGCUCGUAAAGCUCUGUUGUUGGAGAAGAACGUGCGUGAGAGUAACUGUUCACGCAGUGACGGUAUCCAACCAGAAAGUCACGGCUAACUACGUGCCAGCAGCCGCGGUAAUACGUAGGUGGCAAGCGUUAUCCGGAUUUAUUGGGCGUAAAGCGAGCGCAGGCGGUUGCUUAGGUCUGAUGUGAAAGCCUUCGGCUUAACCGAAGAAGUGCAUCGGAAACCGGGCGACUUGAGUGCAGAAGAGGACAGUGGAACUCCAUGUGUAGCGGUGGAAUGCGUAGAUAUAUGGAAGAACACCAGUGGCGAAGGCGGCUGUCUGGUCUGCAACUGACGCUGAGGCUCGAAAGCAUGGGUAGCGAACAGGAUUAGAUACCCUGGUAGUCCAUGCCGUAAACGAUGAGUGCUAGGUGUUGGAGGGUUUCCGCCCUUCAGUGCCGGAGCUAACGCAUUAAGCACUCCGCCUGGGGAGUACGACCGCAAGGUUGAAACUCAGAAGAAUUGACGG
RNAcentral lists this ribosomal RNA (550 nucleotides) under Limosilactobacillus reuteri. RNAcentral describes it as "bacterial SSU rRNA". It matches the Rfam family "Bacterial small subunit ribosomal RNA", at positions 373 to 916 of the family's 1533-position model. The record is from RNAcentral. Lineage: Bacteria; Bacillati; Bacillota; Bacilli; Lactobacillales; Lactobacillaceae.